UCCACGAUCAGCAGCUGCUGUGUACCUCGUACACCUCCUGGUCGAGGAUCCUGGUGCCAAACACCAGGAUGCCGCUGGUGUCGAGGAUGGCAUUGUGGGCUCGGGCCAGCGGGCGGGUCACCUUCUUCUUGCAAUCCACGAUCAUCGUCACGUUCCUCUUGUGGACGCUGAUCGCCACGCGGUGCC
This is a long non-coding RNA of Amblyraja radiata (thorny skate), 186 nucleotides long. RefSeq lists it as uncharacterized. Lineage: Eukaryota; Metazoa; Chordata; Chondrichthyes; Rajiformes; Rajidae. The record is from RefSeq and is a predicted model, not a curated record. The transcript is spliced from 3 exons.